GGGAGCCGAGGGCGGAGGCGACACUCUCAGGUGAGCUGCGGGGAGACCUGGCGGAGCCUGCGGACGCCUGCUCCGCCUCGGAUGUCUCUGUCCGCGGUCCCAGGUCCCUGAGGUGGCCAGAGAGGCGGGGCGGGGCCCCCUGGCACUGCCUGACGUCCCCUCGGGGACCCUUCUUGGGUCCCGAGACUUUUCCAGGAGGGUCAUCCUGAGACCUGGGCUCCCGGACCUACUGGUGCCCACCGAAGACCAGAUUUCUUUGCUUACCUGCCAGUGUCGCCCUCAGCACCCUCGCCCCUCCUCUUGUCUGCAUAGAGUUAAGCCACCUCUCACCUUUGGUCUCCGAAGUGUCCCUUCUUCGUUUGGAGAUCGAGCAUAUUUUGGGAAAUUCCGGGAUACUAGCUCCAGUGUCAGGAACAGUUUCUGUUCCUUUUCCUGGGUGUAAUAUUCACAAAGUGUAGUAUGGGGAAAACUUUGAUCACCUCUAGCCCAGCAGUUGUUGAAUGGAGUCUACUGGCUUAUUCACACGAUUGGGCGGGGAGGGGGUGACAUUUAACAAGCCUUACGUGUUGGAAGUUGUCACUCUCGCUCCCCUCCCCCCUCUUAAAUUCAGACUAAUAUGCUAAAAUCAUAUUUAGCUACUGGCACAGAUAUAGGCAGAAAUUUGCCUGGAGUUUAGUUUUUCAAGCUAGGAAAUUGCAAAUAGGUAUAGAUUUUUAAAAAUGGGUUUUUGAUGUUGUAACAAAUGUUUCAUUUGGGGAAAAAAUAGGUCGUUAGGAAUAGUAGUCGGUAUCCAUGUACUCUACUUAAUUGUUUUGCUAGUGAUUCUUGUUUUGAAUUUGGAGAAGUCGUUAGUGUUGCCAUGCUAACCUGCUCUCUUAGCUUGUAUUUUAACGAUUUAAAAGGAA
Molecule: long non-coding RNA, 905 nt
Filed under: Rattus norvegicus (Norway rat)
Lineage: Eukaryota; Metazoa; Chordata; Mammalia; Rodentia; Muridae
Description: long non-coding RNA NONRATT008847
Source: RNAcentral